This is a non-coding RNA of Phialemonium atrogriseum, 81 nucleotides long. The record is from the annotation of a RefSeq genome assembly. NCBI's taxonomy places the organism in Eukaryota, Fungi, Ascomycota, Sordariomycetes, Cephalothecales, Cephalothecaceae.
GGCACGAUGGCGGAGUGGUUAACGCGCGAGCCUGCUAAGCUCGUUCCUUCGGGAGCAUGAGUUCGAAUCUCAUUCGUGUCG